UGGUCAAGUUAUUAAGGGUGCAGGGCGGAUGCCUUGGCACUAGGAGCCGAUGAAGGACGUGAUAAGCUGCGAUAAGCUUCGGGGAGUUGCACGUAAACUUUGAUCCGAAGAUUUCCGAAUGAGGAAACUCACUUAGAGUAAUGUCUAAGUAUCAUUAAGUGAAUACAUAGCUUAAUGAGGGGAACUCAGGGAACUGAAACAUCUAAGUACCUGAAGGAAGAGAAAGAAAUUCGAUUCCGUAAGUAGCGGCGAGCGAACGCGGAUUAGCCCAAACCAAUAAAGUUUUCUUUAUUGGGGUUGCGGACAUAUCAUAACGAAGAGGUA
This 324-nucleotide ribosomal RNA is filed under the name Clostridioides difficile. RNAcentral describes it as "partial 23S ribosomal RNA". It matches the Rfam family "Bacterial large subunit ribosomal RNA", at positions 1 to 324 of the family's 2925-position model. Lineage: Bacteria; Bacillati; Bacillota; Clostridia; Peptostreptococcales; Peptostreptococcaceae. The record is from RNAcentral.